AUGAAAAUAAAUUCGGUUUGAUUAGCUGUUGGCUUACCUGUCCUAUUCCUUCUUCUUGACGAAUGAAACUCGAUUGGCUGCACUCAAUUAUUUGUUUGAAUGAAAGCUUUGUUUUGUUUGUGUUGUUGUUACGUUGAUUUUGCGUCGUGGACUUUGAGGAGAUCCAAUAUAGCACCUUGUUUCUAUUUCUAUUUUUGCACGGCCACGGGGGGACUUGCGGAGCAGAUCAAGAGUUCUGGAACUAGAAAUAAAGAACGAACACUUCAGGAAAUGGGGGCGGGGAGGAAAAUUUCAUGUCUUUCCCUUUGUCACUUGGUUGCAGUGUUAGCCUUUUCUCACUUGAUUGCUGUAUUCGGGGCGCAAAAACAGCUGCGUUUUGGGCAAAAUGGACAGUUCAAGAUACUGCAAGUGGCGGAUAUGCAUUUUGCAGAUGGCAAGACUACUCCUUGCUUGAAUGUGUUCCCGAGUCAGAUGCGUACUUGCUCUGACCUCAACACCACUGCCUUUGUCGAGCGCAUGAUUCGAGCUGAGCAGCCCGAUUUAAUUGUUUUCACUGGUGAUAACAUCUUUGGAUUUGAUGCCACUGACGCGGCUAAAUCACUUACUGCUGCGUUUGCCCCUGCAAUUUCUUCGAACAUACCAUGGGUGGCUGUUUUGGGGAACCAUGAUCAACAAUCGACCUUGUCAAGAGAAGGAGUUAUGAAGCAUAUUGUUGGCCUUAAAUCCAAAGAUGUUAUCACCAGUGAAAA
RNAcentral lists this unclassified non-coding RNA (749 nucleotides) under Hevea brasiliensis (rubber tree). Lineage: Eukaryota; Viridiplantae; Streptophyta; Magnoliopsida; Malpighiales; Euphorbiaceae. The record is from RNAcentral.